CGUGUGUGAAGAAGGCCUUCGGGUUGUAAAGCACUUUCAGCGGGGAGGAAGGCGAUAAGGUUAAUAACCUUGUCGAUUGACGUUACCCGCAGAAGAAGCACCGGCUAACUCCGUGCCAGCAGCCGCGGUAAUACGGAGGGUGCAAGCGUUAAUCGGAAUUACUGGGCGUAAAGCGCACGCAGGCGGUCUGUCAAGUCGGAUGUGAAAUCCCCGGGCUUAACCUGGGAACUGCAUUCGAAACUGGCAGGCUAGAGUCUUGUAGAGGGGGGUAGAAUUCCAGGUGUAGCGGUGAAAUGCGUAGAGAUCUGGAGGAAUACCGGUGGCGAAGGCGGCCCCCUGGACAAAGACUGACGCUCAGGUGCGAAAGCGUGGGGAGCAAACAGGAUUAGAUCCCCUGGUAGUCCACGCCGUAAACGAUGUCGAUUUGGAGGUUGUGCCCUUGAGGCGUGGCUUCCGGAGCUAACGCGUUAAAUCGACCGCCUGGGGAGUACGGCCGCAAGGUUAAAACUCAAAUGAAUUG
Molecule: ribosomal RNA, 520 nt
Filed under: Klebsiella pneumoniae
Lineage: Bacteria; Pseudomonadati; Pseudomonadota; Gammaproteobacteria; Enterobacterales; Enterobacteriaceae
Description: bacterial SSU rRNA
Rfam family: Bacterial small subunit ribosomal RNA
Source: RNAcentral